UUCAAGAAACCAUGGUCUUUCUUCAUCAAGCCACUGUCCCCCACCCCUCCCCAUAGCAGAGAUGAAUAUUUGUUUCCAGAAUUGCUCACCUUCCUGCUUCCCUGCAGGGCCUGGGUCAAUCCCAGGGUGUAUGUUCCCAAACGCCCCUGAUGACCUCUCUGAUGAAAGCAAAGCUGUCUUUCUAGACCAUGACUGUGCUUCAGUACCUGUUACGUUUGUUCCCAGGCCUAUAUUCACACACGUAUGCGGGCGAAAACGUCUGACUUCCUCAAGGUGCUGAACCGCGCACGCCCAGAUGCCGAGAAAAAAGAAAUGAAAACAAUCACGGGGAAGACGUUUUCAUCCCGCUAAUCUUGGGAAUAAGAGGAGGAAGCGGCUGGCAACUGAAGGCUGGAACACUUGCUACUGGAUAAUCGUAGCUUUUAAUGUUGCACCUCUUCAGGUUCUUAAGGGAUUCUCCGUUUUGGUUCCAUUUUGUACACGUUUGGAAAAUAAUCUGCAGAAACGAGCUGUGCUUGCAAAGACUUCAUAGUUCCCAAGAAUUAA
Molecule: small RNA, 546 nt
Filed under: Pongo abelii (Sumatran orangutan)
Lineage: Eukaryota; Metazoa; Chordata; Mammalia; Primates; Hominidae
Description: processed transcript
Source: RNAcentral